RNAcentral lists this ribosomal RNA (409 nucleotides) under Acanthamoeba sp. EGM50. RNAcentral describes it as "partial 18S ribosomal RNA". Lineage: Eukaryota; Discosea; Longamoebia; Acanthamoebidae. The record is from RNAcentral.
GCAACAGAGAUUCACCUUCUGCCCCGAUCAUUAGCAUGGGAUAUGGAAUAGGACCCUGUCCUCCUAUUUUCCAGUUGGUUUUCGAAGGAACCAGGGUAAUGAUUAAAUAAGGGGAUUAGUUGGGGGGCAUUAAAUAUUUAAAUUUGUCAGAAAGGUGAAUUUCUUUGGGAAUUUAUUGAAAGAAUUUAACCUUCUGCGAAAAACAUCCUGGCCAAGGGAUGUUUUUCUUUUAAUCCAAGAAACGAAAAGUUUAGGGGGAUCCAAAACCAUCAAAUACCCCCCUAAUCUUAACCAACCCAUGCCGACCACGAUUUAAGAGAACCUUUAAACAAACCCCCCUCCGGGCCGUCCCUCCUUGGGCUGGGAGGGUUCCCCCCCCCAGGGGGCAACAGGGAUGGCCGAAGCCCAC